RNAcentral lists this ribosomal RNA (170 nucleotides) under Lepomis microlophus. RNAcentral describes it as "partial small subunit ribosomal RNA". The record is from RNAcentral. Lineage: Eukaryota; Metazoa; Chordata; Actinopteri; Centrarchiformes; Centrarchidae.
CACCGCGGUUAUACGAGAGGCUCAAGUUGAUAAACCCCGGCGUAAAGAGUGGUUAAGAAAGACUAGAAACUAAAGCCGAAUGCUUUCAAAGCUGUUAUACGCUCCCGAAAGUAAGAAGAUCAAUCACGAAAGUGGCUUUACAAUCCCCUGACCCCACGAAAGCUAUGGCA